CUUCGUCUCAUUACUUAGGAAGCGCUCGCGAGUGUGAAUGUAAAUCGGAAAUUUAUUGUACGUUUUACACAAUUUUACACAAACGAGACACACACAGGAUUUUAAUUGUCAAGCAGAUAUACAAUCCGCUUUUAUAGGUAAUAAAACAGGUAUAUAUCUAAUUUAACGUCGAAAUAACACUGAGAAUGAAACAAAAGGUGACAAUGGACGUCGAAGGAACAGGAUGUCCUGCCCCGAAGAAGGCAUCCGCCGUUUGCAACAAAAGUGUGAUAAUCAAUGGUAUUAACGGUCAUGUCGAGACGGCGGAGCGCGAAGGAACCACGGAGAAAGGUGCGCGGUCUCCGGAAGAGAGGGAGGCCAUGCUGACUGGCGACGUGAAGCCGAUGCAGUGCCGGGUUUACUGGACCAGGUUCCUGAUCCUGACCGUGUUCAGUCUGUACUCCAUGAUCAACGCCUUCCAGUGGAUCCAGUACAGCAUCAUCUCCAAUAUCUUCAGCACUUUCUACCAAGUCUCCUACGAGCAGAUCGACUGGUUGUCGGUUGUCUACAUGCUCGUCUACGUCCCUCUGAUCUUCCCCGCCGCCUGGCUGCUCGACAAGAAAGGCUUGCGGAUCGUGGCGCUGCUGGGUUCCGGUCUCAACUGCAUCGGAGCGUGGAUUAAAAUCGCAAGCGUAAGGCGAGACCUGUUUGGGGUGACCAUGUUCGCCCAAACGGUCUGUUCCAUCGCUCAGAUUUUUAUCCUCGGGCUGCCCUCUCGAGUGGCCUCCGUUUGGUUCGGGCCCCGAGAGGUGUCUACGGCGUGCGCCACCGCCGUCCUGGGCAAUCAGCUUGGUGUGGCUUUAGGUUUUCUUUUGCCUCCAAUUUUGGUGCCUAAUACUCCAGAUGAUCUUGAUCGGAUGGCAAGCAACAUAAGUAUAUUAUUUUAUGGAACAGCUGCCAUAGCCACUGUGUUGUUCAUCCUGGUUGUAGCAGUAUUUAAAGACAAGCCUCCACUUCCUCCAAGCCAGUCCCAAGCAGUGCUUUUGGAAAGCCCUGAUGAGUAUUCCUACAAACAAUCAAUUGUAAAUUUGUUUAAGAGUGUUCCAUUUGUGCUACUGCUAUUAAGUUAUGGUAUUCUGACAGGGUCAUAUUAUUCAGUAGGAACACUAUUAAAUCAAAUGAUCAUUGCUCACUAUGAGGGACAAGAAUUGAAUGCUGGUAGAAUUGGAUUAACUUUAGUGGUUUCAGGAAUGGUAGGUUCCAUCAUCUCUGGUUUCUGGGUGGAUCGUACAAAGGCAUACAAGAAGACCACCCUUGCAGUCUACAUUAUUUCAUUUAUUGGAAUGCUUGUUUUCACCUUUACCAUAAGCCUUGGCCAUAUCGAAGUAGUGUUUGUGACAGCUGGAGUCUUGGGUUUUUUCAUGACUGGUUAUCUUCCAUUGGGCUUUGAGUUUGGUGUAGAAAUAACCUAUCCAGAAUCCGAGGGAACAUCAUCUGGACUUCUCAAUGCUUCUGCACAACUAUUUGGAAUUGUGUUCACACUGGCCCAAGGAAAGUUGAAAGCUGAUUAUGACACGUUUACAGGAAAUAUCUUUCUUUGUUCUUGGAUCUUUCUGGGACUCAUUCUUACAGAGCUCCUUUUACCAGCUGCUCCUCUCUCCAGCACAGGAAGUAUAUAGCCAGUUCAACAAACCACAGGUACUAAGUUUUGAUUGUAUGUUGAGUACUGUAAAUACAUUUAGUAAACUACAAUAGGUUUUCACAAAUUUUAUGUAAAUCAAUUAGCAAAAAAAGAAAUGAUGUUAGGUUAAUUAGUUAAUUGGAAAGUCUUGGAAGUUAUCAGUAGUACAUGGAAUUUGGAAACUGAGGGGAUCAACCAAUGAAUAAAAUGUUAAUCUGGAUGGAUGAUAUUAGAUCUUUUUCUUAAAUUACAUAGCUUAAGAAUGAAAUUCAGAUAGAAUGUUUAUGAAACUUCACUCCAAGUUUUGAUGGAUAAUUACUAAAGAAUUUUUGACUAAAUUGAAAUUGGAAAAGGCCUAUCAUCGUGUAGCAGUGCAGAUCACAUGAUCCCCAACAUGCUCUUCUGGUGAUCCAGUUGCAGCUCUGGGUGCAUACAAAUACAUAACACUUAAAGGCUUAGAUAAGAUACGGAGCAAGGAACUCUGCACUUGUUUGAGGUUCUGUAAUAAUCUGUUCUCCAGUGUGAGGUUGCUGCUAAUGGUUAAUCCUAGGAGAGGUUGUGCACAAAUCUUGACAACAUACACUGAUUCUGCAAAACCACCUAAAUGUAUUGCAGCUUUUUAACAGAUUUCCAGUAUCUCUUCUUUAUACAGUGUCUCAUCACUCUUCUGUCACUUGAAAUAAAGGCAUGUGGCAAAACAUGGUGGCUAUGCAAGUGACGGUAAGAAAACAAAAGAGUGGUAAGGGAAGAACUACACUUAAAUGGAUAUUCGCGAAUGAAAAGCUCACAGAGUAAAUUAUAAAGCUAGCUGAAACAUCUUUCAAGGAUCUGACCACUUCAUACAUUAUAAUCAUAAACUAUUAAGCUUUCAUUCUUGCUGUUUACAUCCUGUGAACUCUUUGAGUGUCUGCAGCUUUGCGACGCACACAUAGCUCUUGUUUGGUUUGCUGGCAUGUUUUUAUUAACAAGUCAAUUGUGAAGCUAGUCUCUUCAGGUUUUAGGAAAGAAAUAUAACCAUUCAACAUGAACGAACCAGGAUUGUGACUGUCCAUGGACAAUCGUGUACAGGGUAAGGCGGCAUUAUGCUGCUGCAAGUAAACAAAACCAUGGUGUUAUGAGAAAAAGAAAUUCUAAUAGGGAUUGAUUGGUACUAUGGAUUGGAAUACUGUCCCCUCACCUCUGGGGUCUCUAUUGAAUUGAGGCUCAAUGUAGUUUGUGAAUGAGGUAGUUUUAAAUACAUAAAUUUGUAACUGAUAAUCUACUUCUUUAACUCACACAAUUCCCCCACCUGGGCAGCUAGUGGUUUGAUGCCAGAAGAAAAAGCUAACUCUUGAGAGGCCAGAAAAUAAAAGUAGCUGUGGAGGAAAAUGUCACGUUGAUGUUCAAAGCUUACAGUUAAGACAUUGCAUUGGGAUAGAUUAGAGAGUUUUACUCUGCAUCAGACCAAUAUCGGCAGUGCCAGGCUAGGUGGGCAUAAUGCUGGCUUGGGCUGGCAAAUUAUGAGCUAUUUGGUUCUGAUUUACAAAAAAAUUAAGUAUUUGACAAGUUAGUGUCAGUUUAUGUUUUUGUUUCUUCAGCAGAAAGUUAAUGCUCUAGUCUGUCCACCCUCUGAUGUGGAAAAGUGACAUAAUUUCCUCCAGCCACUAAGCGUGGCUUGCAGUUGAUUAUUGUUAAAGGUAAUUAAUUUAUGGGUAUGGCUUAAUAAUAAAAUGCCACUUUGAAAAGUAAAUAUGUGUAGAUGUUAUAUGUGCACACUCAAAUCAUUUGAGUUUCCAGUAAGUAGUUUGGCCACUGCAAAAAUCACAUUACUCAAAGGCCUCAGAUACUUCAAACAUCUAUAAGAUGCAAUAAAAAGUUUACUGCAUGCAUCUGUUAAUACAUUUAUUAGUUUUAAAAUAUAAACCAAAAAAAGGAGCAUCUCAACUGAUGUACGUAAAUCUACAUGCACUACCCAUGGCAAUGCAACUUUAACAUCUUGAAUUAGCAUCUGUUUUACAUUGGAUCUAGCUAUAAUGCAUCACACCAAAAAGAGGAGAAAGAAUAGUUGGGAGUGAUUAUGAGGCAGUAAUUUUUUGGGGGCUUCUGGAGGACAUAAAUUUCAAGAUGAAGCAUGGAUUUCAAUUCUUUUGAAUUUUUUUCUUUAAUUUCUGGAUCAUCACAAUUUUUGACAUAUUUUGUACUACUUAAUGUUGUCCUUAAUGGUAAUUAAGUAAUGCAGUUGUCCUCGAAUAAGGGUGUGACAAUAGCAAGCAUUUUAUGCUGCAGUCACACAGAAUGGUAAUGCUAUGCAGAAUCUAUACAAGAAAUUCUCCAAGCCUGGCUUUCUGUAGAGCUGCUCGUUCCAAGCUCAAGUCAUAACACUGUUACUGGAAAAUGAGUCAUCUGAUUUAAGAAUUAACAAUUUUUUUCUUGUUUAUUUUGAAACAUAGAUAUUGAAGGCUUAUGUUUAAAAGAAACUAAACCACCAAUAAAACUAGUUAAAUUGCACAUUUCCAAGGCUAGUAGAUAAUUUUGGUAAAUUUCUGAUUUGCUGAUCACGUCCUCUGUUUUUAAGGCCUUAAAAUCACUCCCUUCUAUUAUAACUUCUAAUAUGUGCUGGAUGAUUUUAUUUCUAAAUUGGUUAGUCUUGCUAUUUUCAGCCAGUGUUCUGUCUGGAAGCAGUGUGAGGUAAGGACUCUGCAAAAAAAAUUGUAAAGUCAAUAUUUUGUUGUAUGGUGCUAAUAUGCAAUUGAAUUAAAAUGUAACUGGAUGGUGACUUUCUUAAAAGGUUUACAGAAAUCAAUACAAUUUAUUUGUUUCUUACUGGUUUCUUCAUAAAUUGAUGCCAUUGUAUAACAUCUGUAGAAAGAUAUUAAGGUGUGUCUAACUGAUAAAUCUGUUUUAUUAUAUAGAAAAACUUCUGCUUAAAUAAUGUUAAUGAAGUUUCUUUCAGUAAUUCUAAUUUUACUUAAUUUAGCAUUGUAUUUGUAAUAUCCUUAUUUUGAAAACGGAAUCUCCAUUUUAAUAUGUGCAUUUUUAAAAGCUUUGUAUUUUGGCUUUUAAAAGGUUUUGAACAAACUUUGCUGUAUCUGAAUUUUUCUGAGAUUACUGCUUAAUUGACUGCAUAGGCAAACUAACAACUGUUUUUUAAGAGAAGUCAUAUUUGCCUUAGGUUCCUAUUCUGAUAAAAUGUGCACGUAAUCCAAAUAGAUUUUUUCAUAAUUUUUAUUUUCUUUACAGUUUUCAUAAAAACAGACUUAAGAAGACAACAAGCAAAUUUGGCUGCAAGUGCUCAGUUUGCUGAUCGUGAUUCACUAGAAAGAGUUUCUACUGCACAAAAUGAACUUCAUGCACCAGAAGAAACUACAAUCUAAUUAAUGUGGGAGAACAGAUGGCAGUGGUACAGCGCACAACUAGUAAAUGGCACUGAAAUAAAUAUGAAGAGCUGCUAAUGGUGCAAUGGUUAGAAAAAUGUGAUAAUUUAUUAACAGUGACCAAUAUUUAUUAGUAGUUCAAAUAAUGGACUCAUUUUAACUGGCUUCAAGAGCAUUAGAUUGUUUUAUUCCAGUAAAAUUAAUAUUUUUGCAAAAUAAACGAUUGGAAGUUUGAUUUGUUUGGACAAAUCAUUUCUACAAAAGAUUUAAACUGGACCAGAUUUCCAUUUUUAUAUGUAAAAGUGUAUGAGAGUAAAGUAUCUUCGUCAGUCUUACAUAUGGACUUUCUGUUUUAAGUGUUAUUUUUAAUUGUUACUUUACCAGUGUCUGGUAAUUUUCCAAAUGUAAGCACACUGUAUUUUUGACAUUCUCAUUACUUUUUUAAAAAGAACUGUUUUGUUUUUCUUUUAGUUAUUGCUCUUGGGCAUGUUGGAUGAGUUCUGUAAACGGGUCAGUGUUCUGAAAAGUGAGGGAGAAUUCAGUCUCUCGAAAAUGUAAACUCUAGCCUUCUUAAUGUUCAAAGAAUUUAGUUUUUUAAGUUAAAUUGUGUAUAAAUAGCUCUUGCACAAUUUGUAACAUCCAUAAAAGCAAUUUCCAUGGAAAUGCACUUGAUACUUGUUAAGUAGUCAAAACUGUAACGUGCUUAGCAGUAACUCGCACAAAUUUGAUAUGUUUGUAAUAUAUAGUUAUAUAUAUCAACUGCGAGUUUGAACUUUCCAUUUUUAUCCAUAGUCAGCUAUGGAUAUCAACUAGUAUAUAUGUGAAAAUAUUAGUGGACAAAAGUUAUUCAUACACCACAAUUUGCACUUAAAUCUAUUCAUUUCACAGGAAUGAAUACAGUAGGUUUAAGUUUCACAGGUGAUAUUCUAUCCUGAACUUCAUAAGAAGCUAGAGAGUAAAAUUGUAAAGUUUGUUGUCCAGUGCAGUCUAUGUACUGUAAGCCCCCAAAUGUUGGGGGUAACAAAUAUCUGUUCAUCACAAUAGUUGUGCCUUUAUUAUUGAUAUGAAAAGAUGCAACGGAUUUUAACUAUGUAGGUGCAUUAAAUUCUAAGAACUGUAUUAAGAUCUAUAUGAUCAACCUCAUGUAAGAUCAUUAGUCUGCCAGAUGGUACUGUAUAUAUUGGCAAUGUAGAACCAAAGUUAUUAAUUAUGCACCUAUCCUGUCCUCAUACAUUGAUAAUCUUAGUCAGAGCGUCUGUAAAGUUGGAGACAAUUCUGUUAUCCACUUGCAAAUACUCAUAGUUCUGUCACUUUACCAGAUGACAACCAUGAAAUUAUAAAACCUGUCACUGUGGAGUGCAUAUAGUUGUGGUUACUUUGGUUCAUGUUUCACAUAUCUGUAUAUAAUUGUAUCAUUUUCUUCAUCGUGAUUUUAAUACACAAUGAAAUUUUUAUUUUGCA
Hypanus sabinus (Atlantic stingray) is the source of this 6474-nucleotide RNA transcript. It is a transcript of the gene named FLVCR heme transporter 1, with no coding region annotated. The record is from RefSeq and is a predicted model, not a curated record. The transcript has 10 exons. Lineage: Eukaryota; Metazoa; Chordata; Chondrichthyes; Myliobatiformes; Dasyatidae.